This 253-nucleotide ribosomal RNA is filed under the name uncultured bacterium. RNAcentral describes it as "partial 16S ribosomal RNA". It matches the Rfam family "Bacterial small subunit ribosomal RNA", at positions 524 to 776 of the family's 1533-position model. The record is from RNAcentral.
UACGAAGGGGGCUAGCGUUGCUCGGAAUUACUGGGCGUAAAGCGCACGUAGGCGGCUUUCUAAGUCGGGGGUAAAAUCCUGGAGCUCAACUCCAGAACUGCCUUCGAUACUGGAGAGCUCGAGUCCGGGAGAGGUGAGUGGAACUGCGAGUGUAGAGGUGAAAUUCGUAGAUAUUCGCAAGAACACCAGUGGCGAAGGCGGCUCACUGGCCCGGUACUGACGCUGAGGUGCGAAAGCGUGGGGAGCAAACAGG